ACGAUGCUAGUCACGCCGAAGCUGCCAUCUUUUACGAGGAGAAUGUCUACGUACAUCCGCGAACAUCAAUUUAUGAAGACGAUUACAUCCAACGAUUUACAUCUUCGUGACGUUCUUCUGAAAGUCACUCGAUUAAUCUGAUCGACGAUAGUAGAGAAAAUAAGCUUAGGAUAAUGAUUACGUUGAAUUUUUUGAAAAAAGAAUGAUUUUUAAUAGAAUAAUAUUUUCUAGGUGGUAAUAGGAUAAAUAUGUGGUAAAAAAGAGGUCAAAGUGAAAUUCGACGUUGAAAAUCGAAAGAAUUCACAUUUACGCUAAUUAAAUUAUUUUCAAUGAUAUAUAUACAUAUAUCUCUCGCGAUAUCGCGAUAAUAUCUCUUAUGAAUCUUGUUCUUUACAUUUGGUAUUAUAAUUACUUGAGGUAUAACCGAGAUACAAUCAACGUCGAAAUUCUAUUGAAAAAAGGAUUCGAGAUCGAAGUAUAAUAAAUAAAUGUACAUAAUACAUAAAUGUAUUACACACACACACACGCGUAAUUCUUUUUUUCUUUUUUCUUUUUUUAUGUGAAUAAAUAUUUCGUGUUUUUAUUUCAUGAAGACGUCCUUCCAUGUUAGUUACAAUUUUUACUUCGUUUUGCUUUUGUUUCGCCUAUCUUCUUUUCAUUUCUUCGCAUUUGUAGUAGACUUCUUUCGUGUGAUACAUCGCGCGACUUUUGUACAUUACGAUGAAGAUCGGAUCUAGAUUUGGUGUUCCUUUUUUUUGCUUUUUGUUUAUCCUUUUUAAAGCUAUCGUUAUAACACAUAGAUUAUGUACGCACAUAAAAUAUAGUGAUGCUGGAAAUCUUUAGGGAUCCUGACCAAAUACGAGGCGCCGUACGCAAUUACGCUAAUGCUUUUUUCGCGUGUUACCUCGGUGGACAGAUUCACUUUAAUAAAUUAAGAUCAAUUACAAAAAAUAGUUGUAACGAACUGUGCAACGAAGAAGAUUAGAAAAAUGACAUUUAUCACAUCGACAUAGAAUGUGAAAUGGACUAAAUAUAAGAUCGACAUCUUUUCUUCUUUCAUUUGUUUUCUUCACUUUGUGCGUAAAUCGAAUGAAUAAUCAUCAACUUGAAAAUGCGGAAGCUCCGCAUAAGCAAAAGGAACAUUUUGUGUAAUGCAAAGAACUACCACCGCGAGCGGAAAUGUUUUGCCGAUUAUUUACAACGAAACUGUUCAUGAUCACAAUGAGUUUUAAGGGAAAUAAAAAUAACAUAACGGUAUACUAUUAUACAAGUCGUGAAUGAGCUUAUACAAAACAUAUUGUACGUAGCUUAUUAAUUCGCACCGAUCUUAUAUAUCACUAGAGGCAGUGGUCUCGUAUAUAUCGUAAAUCGUAAAGACAAAAUUUCGUAUUAGAAAGCCAGUAAAGUCACGAUUGAAAUUUGUUAUAUAUUUUAUCGGAAAAGAAACUAUAGCAAAAACGUGUUUUAAAUAUCACACGUUUAAUAUAUAUACAUAUAUAUGUAUAUAUCUAUGCACAAUAUAUAUACAUACGUUUGCACGGGCACACUGGACUAUGUCCUAAGCACAAGGUAAAAUAUCUAUGUAAGAAUAAAUUUAUGUCCGAAAGUCGAAAAAGUUACGCUUAUAACUUGUAAUACGUCGUCGGAAUCUUUGAAUGAGAAGAAAAAAUUAACUCAAUUGUAAAGUCGAAAAUAGAGAAAGAAAAAUGGAGAGGAGAUGGGAGAGGGGAGGAGGGAGAGAGAGAAACAAGUUUUACAUUCAGUUUUUGUUGAGAAAAAAGGAAUUUGACGAGCCAAAUACACAUAACAUAAUAUAUCACACACCCAGUAAUAUAGAAUAAGAAAUAUGUAUGUAAUAUAUAUGUAUGGGUCAUAAAUAUGCAUCUUUUUAAAUGUUUAACGAUAAACGGAAGAAAACUAUGAAAUAAGAAAAUAAAUGAGAAAUUCAUCAACAAUAAAGUUUGAGAAUAUUAGAGAAAAGAAAAAUCAUUAAAUAAAAAUAAUUGCAUAAACAUUUACGCGAGUUUGCACAAAGUUGUACGAGUUUGCAUAAAAAUGAAGAAACAACACGAAACACUUCUGUGUUAUCCUAGUACGUAGUAUAUAAUUGAAAUAAUAGAAAAUUCGAAAGUCAUAUCUAUUUUACCGGCACAUGCGACGUAAGCGAUUCCUUUGAACGGUUUCAACACAUGCAUCCUUUUUUUCCACAUGGAGGACGGAUCAAUCAGACACAACGAACAGCGUAUACAUGAAUAAACGAUCGAUCGAUCGAUCGAUUGACGAGGAAUCAUUCAUCGGAGCGCAGAUAAAAAGAGACGCGGUAUUUAAUCUAACGACUUUGACCUGUCUAAUCUACGUUUACUUUCAAAACCAGAGUCGAUGAUCGUUCUCGUCGCGUCGAAAUGUCUCGCGGCGGAAACGAAUGACCCCGCUAUCACAUUAUUGGAUGGAUUUGAUUGAGGACUCGUAGCGACGUCCGUAACAACACGAUUUGCGAAAUCAUGUUCCCCCUUAGCGUUCUCGGACAAAACAAAAGUUGUUCGCGUGAAGAUCCUUUCGUGAGAAUCUAAGGAAUCCCUGACUUCCUUUUCCUCGUCCUCCUCUUCCUCUCUUUCUUCUUCUUCCUCCUUAUCCUCAUCGUGUUUCGAACCAGUGGCAUAUCUUCCGACAAAUUUGUACAAUCCACCAGCAUUAAUCCGGCCAACGACGAUCUCAUCCGAUUUCUCCCUUUUCCUCGAACGAACGGCCGAGAAAAAUUCAUCUACGUCAUCGUCUUUCAUGUCCUCUUUCCAUAGUUGCUGACGAUGCUGUCCGUAUCUUUCUUUUGAGGAACAACUUUCGAACUUCGUGUGUCCAUGCAUCUGAGAUAUCGUACAGUCCACGCCCUCACAAAUAUCUCUCAAAAUCAUCCGUUCUUUCGAGCCGGUCGAAUCGACUUCUGACUUAAGCGUUUUACCUUUUCUCGAAGUACCAUGAACGAUUGGCGGACGUUCAGAAGUGUCAAUCGUUGAGAGCAUUUCCGAACUCCGCUCCUGUCUCAAAGGAGAAACACAAAAAUUCUGUCUGACGAUGGCAGCGCUACCGAUAACAUUCUCCGCCGGACAAUACUGCGGAAAACGUACGUACGCUGCAUUCUCCUGCAUACAAUCCUCGGUGUUGUUCUGUCGUGAAUUCACCGGACUGUUUGUACACUGUUGCAUGGACUGUUGACCACGCGAACCCGGAUCCAUCAUGGUAGAAUUUAAUCUCGCUGGACUGCACGGAUAAGCGAAAUAUGAAGGCGCGCUCGGAUUCGUUAUCACAUUACUCCCUGCUACGAAAUUCAAUCUGGUAGCUCUUGCUUCUGGUGAUGUUGGCGUCGACGACGCUUUCCCUCGAGUCUGAGCGAUCACCGUUUCGUAACUCGGCGGUGGACCAUAUAAUUGAUAGUAGGGACAAUUGGUGUCGUUCAACACUACAUUCAUGUUUUGAUAAUACGUCGAUGUCGUUGCGUUCCCGUUGAAAUUGGGAGACGUUCCAUUCCUUUGAGGACCUAACGAAAGAUCUGUACUUUAGAAAAUACCAUCUUCAUAUGCCAACUAUAAAUUUCACGGGCUAUCGAGCGUUAUAUACAUUUCCGAAAAGUUUUUAUAGAUAAAGACUUUUGAACUUAAGUGUAAUAAGUAAUAUCAGUCAGUAAAGAAUUCAUUUUUAAAUGUUAAAUCAAUUUCUUUCUGAAAAAAUUGGGAAGUUUUAAAAUACGAUAUCGUAGGUGUCUAACUGUAUCAACAAAAGAUAAAUUUAAAAAAUAACUUCAUCAAAGUUAAAUAUUCAACAAUCAAUAAAAAUGAUAUCGAAAGAAAAUUUACUAGCCUUUCCACAUACGAUGUAAUAAGACGGUGUUUCUUGCUGAAUUAUAAGAGAUACGGGCUUGUUGUGGUUGACAAGCUUGACCUCGAAAUGUGCUUUGCGUUCUCGAGUUGGAAGAUCUACUUGGGAUUGUGGAUGCAGUGGUUCUAUAUCUUCCUUGUAACCUAUAUCGAUACCACCAACCACCUCCGGAACACACCAGAAACAUAAUUAUAACUAAAAUCCUAAAAGAAAAUGAAAAAAUCAUAACGUUAAUAUGAAAAAUUGAAGUAACGAAUUCAAAUCUCGAUUUAUAAUUAUUAAAAAUUUACGCACCAAUAAUACCAUAAAUGAUGAAAAUGAAGUCCAGGAGAGACGCAGCAGCCGAAGGCGCAACAGUAUUCACUUCUUGAACAUCUGAGAUCAAAAUAACUUAUCAUUUUCAUAUAAAUUCGUUAAAAAAUAUUUCUCAUAAUGAAAAUUAAAUAUAUGCAAAUCAAAGAAUGUAUCGAUCUUAUGUAAUUCUCACAUAUCAUUAUAAUAAAUAUAAACAUUAUAAAUCACGUAUGUACAAAUAAAAAUUUUAAGAUACAUUAAUUAUUAAAUAUAACGUAUAAAACAUGUAACUCACUCAUAAUAUUUCACUUGUUCAGGCAUUUCAGAGGCACAAUAUUUGGCUUCUGCCUAAAAGAAUUUUGUCAUUAAUAACAAUCUGAUAAUAAAAAUAAUAUAUAAAAC
This is a long non-coding RNA of Vespa mandarinia (Asian giant hornet), 4566 nucleotides long. Lineage: Eukaryota; Metazoa; Arthropoda; Insecta; Hymenoptera; Vespidae. The record is from RefSeq and is a predicted model, not a curated record.